This is a non-coding RNA of Pelobates cultripes (western spadefoot toad), 168 nucleotides long. Lineage: Eukaryota; Metazoa; Chordata; Amphibia; Anura; Pelobatidae. The record is from the annotation of a GenBank genome assembly.
GCAGACACAUUCCAGCCAAUCAGCAGCAGACCUUCCCUCCCAGACCCUCCCACCUCCUGGACAGCAUCCAUUUUACAUUCAUUGUGAAGCUGCAUUCUUAGUGAGCUGUCCAGGAGUUGGGAGGGUCUGGGAGGGAGGGUCUGCUGCUGAUUGGCUGGGAUGUGUCUG